This 253-nucleotide ribosomal RNA is filed under the name uncultured bacterium. RNAcentral describes it as "partial 16S ribosomal RNA". It matches the Rfam family "Archaeal small subunit ribosomal RNA", at positions 474 to 727 of the family's 1478-position model. The record is from RNAcentral.
UACCAGCACCCCGAGUGGUCGGGACGAUUAUUGGGCCUAAAGCAUCCGUAGCCGGCCUUACAGGUCCUCCGUUAAAUCCAGCUGCUUAACAGAUGGGCUGCGGAGGAUACUAUAAGACUAGGAGGCAGGAGAGGCAAGCGGUACUCAGUGGGUAGGGGUAAAAUCCGUUGAUCCAUUGAAGACCACCAGUGGCGAAGGCGGCUUGCCAGAAUGCGCUCGACGGUGAGGGAUGAAAGCUGGGGGAGCAAACCGG